ACAAAACGCCAGCGCAGUUAACCUCAGUUACUCGACUCAGUUUCCUCUCGGGCUCCGGCACCCGUAUCGCUUCCUGCCACCGCGUCGUGCGCUGACAUCAGCAGAGCCGCAGGCGCGCGGAGGAUGAGCUCACCUCCGGCCGGCGCGCUGCCUCUCUGCCGUGCUCUGAGCAUCCCCCAAAACCACAGCCAAUGCAUCACUGGAAAAGACGGUUCCAGGCCCAGCAAAACUACUGGUCUUAGGAGAUCUCUGAGUAACAUUCCUGCCGCAACUCAGUAAUAUGCUACCUGCUCAUGUCUUGCUGAAGCCGGAGGACUGGAAAACAAGCAAUGUUCUUAAUUUCAUACUUCAGAGUCUUCCUUUAUAAUUUUGGCCAAACUUUCUCUCCUGUUUUCUGCUGGAUUACCCUAAACAUCUAAGUAAAGGCUUGGGGGGAAAAUGGCAAAUGCUUUAUCAGGGAGAUGCCUUUCAUAGUUUCUAGCAGAUCUUUCAUGAGGACAUUACUCUUUCUUAAAAGUCUUAUUUAUAACAUGAUGCCUUGUGCUGCCGUGGACAGCAGUAGUUCCACAGAAAGAUAGUGUUGACUCAGGAAUGCAGGUACAAUAAAGGAAACCUGUUUACGCAGCUAAUGGCUGAACCUACACGCCAUGCCAUCUCUGGUGGACAACGGAGCAGUCCCAACAGUAACGUUUUGUUUAUGUGUUUAUAAGGAUUGCAUCAGUAUGAGACUCCUCAACAAGUCCUUUCCUCCCUUUAUCAGAAAGCGAACGCUCAUGGCAUUUCCUACUGUAACGGAGUAGCAGUCCAGCUCACCUAAUGUUGUUGCUCCAAUAGUCACUUGGCUGCUCUAGAGGGAAGUGUGAGACCUUUACAUUUUACCUGUUGUACCACCAGGACAGUCAGCUCACACCCUAGCAUCUUGGGGAUUAAUGACUUGAAAUUUGUAUCUUCAUAUUAUCAGCUCAGGGCCACCUCCCAUAACCAGUUUUCGGCCUGGCAGCACUCCCCCAGAACUUGAUAGCGCCUUUGAGUGAACAGUGUUUACAAGCUUAGUCACAACCACUGGAUUUCAUCAUGUCACAGGACUGCCUGUAAAGAGCCAAAGUCCCGAAUGGGUUGCUUCCUUGCAGAGCCUCAGGAUUCAACUUAAAUUACUGUUAUACCUUCAGUCCAUAAUGUGCAUAUGUGGGGGUCCUCUACUGUUGCAGCUACGCAAAGUAAAGCUUGUGGAUAUAGGUCAGUUCUGGGAGAGAGCAAUGGCCAUUCGUGCUGACGUUGUUGCUGCUGGCUCCCAGUCUCAGACUGUAUGUAGAUUCAUGCGUUCAGCAUCAGAGCUGAUCUUGCUAAAUUCUGAGGAACGAAGUUAUUUCUGAUAGCCAGUUGCAAACAGUGAAAUCCUGGUAUUUACCAUCUGGUGGAUGCCCUGCCUGUCUAUUAAAGGGACAAAGUGGGUAUUUCGAUUAUCCUUGACAAGAUGUAAAAUUGGCUAGCUUUACAGUGUUAAAUAUUUAAAUAGAGCAUAAUUGGCUUUAAAUUUAUGGCAGUGCAGAGCUCACAUCCUUUCACCAGAGACCUGUUUCCUUAGCAGGUAUGUAUUUAACACAAGGUAACGUAUGCAGUAUUAAGACAAAAGGCUGACUGAAAAGCAAUAAUGGAAAAAAAUAGCUUUUCCCCUCGUAUUUAUUCUGUCUAGUCCAUCCAAUCUAAUAGUGACCAGAGUCCUAAUCCUGUUAAUUCCAUGUUUUGUUAAGUUUGCCCUUAUAAUAGUUCCUUGCAUAUGGAGUUUGGUGGUCUCCCAGAGUACUGCAUCUCAAUAACCUUUGUACCUCCUUUACCACAUAUCGGAGAAAUUAAGGAUUAAACGGCUCACAUGGCAGGGACUAACCUAAAUCUAUGCUGUAGAAUGAGGCAUGCUGC
Molecule: long non-coding RNA, 1917 nt
Organism: Dromaius novaehollandiae (emu)
Lineage: Eukaryota; Metazoa; Chordata; Aves; Casuariiformes; Dromaiidae
Exons: 2
Source: RefSeq, a predicted model, not a curated record